This 373-nucleotide unclassified non-coding RNA is filed under the name uncultured Tausonia. RNAcentral describes it as "sequence contains ITS1". The stretch from base 1 to 105 matches the Rfam family "5.8S ribosomal RNA", at positions 50 to 154 of the family's 154-position model. Lineage: Eukaryota; Fungi; Basidiomycota; Tremellomycetes; Cystofilobasidiales; Mrakiaceae. The record is from RNAcentral.
GAAAUGCGAUAAGUAAUGUGAAUUGCAGAAUUCAGUGAAUCAUCGAAUCUUUGAACGCACCUUGCGCUCCCUGGUAUUCCGGGGAGCAUGCCUGUUUGAGUGUCAUGAAACUCUCAACCUCCAACUUUCUUAAUAGUAGUUGGCGGCUUGGACUUGAGCGCUGCUGGUCAUCGGCUCGCUCGAAAUAUAUUAGCAGACCCUUUUUGUAAUCGGUUCCACUCAACGUGAUAAGUAUUUCGUUGAGGACAGUCUUUCGGGACUGGCCGAGAUAAGGAAGGUAUAGUGUCAGCUUCUAAUUCGUCGUCUAGCUUUCGAGCGAAACACACUUUUAUGAUCUGGCCUCAAAUCAGGUAGGACUACCCGCUGAACUUAA